RNAcentral lists this ribosomal RNA (1067 nucleotides) under Palassocoris sp. Msp039. RNAcentral describes it as "partial large subunit ribosomal RNA". It matches the Rfam family "Eukaryotic large subunit ribosomal RNA", at positions 386 to 1165 of the family's 3401-position model. Lineage: Eukaryota; Metazoa; Arthropoda; Insecta; Hemiptera; Miridae. The record is from RNAcentral.
AAAGUUCAGGGGUAAACGGAAAAGACCCGAAAUUUCCGAAAGGGGAGAUUCACGUCUUCUCGCUGGCUCGACUCCUCGUCCAUUGUCGACGGUUCUAUGCCUCAUUCGAACUUGUUCGGAGCGAGUGGUGGGACCGCCGUGGUCGAGGGUGUAGGGUCGCGGCAGACCGCACUUCUCCCCUAGUAGGACGUCGUGACCCGUCCGGUCAUGGUCUAAGAGUGUGUAUGGGAGCCUGUUUGUGCUGUUUCGGCAGUUCACGAGCAGACCUUCGCAUUUCUGGCCAUGAAUGCUCCGGUCGGUAUCAAAAGACAGUGUUGGACCGCUCUUCUGGGGGAGAAAUCCUUUCUUGAGAGCGCGAUUGGUCCUUGGCAAGGUAGUGAGUCGCGUUAGUCAAGACGGGCCUACGUCCGUCUGACUGCUCUCACUCCUGUUGGUCGAGGUACUCUAUCGCCGGUCAAAAAUUAUGGCACUAGUCUACGGCGAAUCAGUUUUGGGCUCUUGUCCGACCCGUCUUGAAACACGGACCAAGGAGUUUAGCGUGUACGCGAGUCAUUGAGUGUUAAAACUCAUAGGCGAAAUGAAAGUGAAGGGAACUUUACGUUUCUGAGGGAAGAUGAGACGGUUUCUUAUCCAAGAGCCUCUCCGCACUCCCGGGGCGUCUCUAUCUCAUUGCGAGAGGAGGCGCACCUAUAGCGUACACGCUGAUACCCGAAAGAUGGUGAACUAUGCCUGGCCAGGACGAAGCCAGGGGAAACCCUGGUGGAGGUCCGCAGCGAUUCUGACGUGCAAAUCGAUCGUCGGAGCUGGGUUUAGGGGCGAAAGACCAAUCGAACCAUCUAGUAGCUGGUUCCCUCUGAAGUUUCCCUCAGGAUAGCUUGCGCUCGGACGAGACGAGUCUCAUCCGGUAGAGCGAAUGAUUAGAGGCCUUGGGGUCGAAACGACCUCAACCUAUUCUCAAACUCCAAAUAGAUGAGAACCCUGGCUUUCUUAAACUAUGAAGCCAAGGGGUUUCGGAUCAGAGUGCCAAGUGGGCCAAUUUUGGUAAGCAGAAGUGGCGCUGUGGGAUA